AACAUUUGGUCGACGUCUGUGACAUGAAAUACACGAUCAUCCACGCAGUUUCCAUGGCACGUACGACUAUGAUCGAUCGAGCAAUCGAUAAUAAGCUCGACCGAGUCUGAAAAGCUGAUUCCUAAGGGACGCCGACGGAUGCGUGGCGCGGGGACGAGACACGCGAUAGUUAUUUAACGUGAAAUCCAUUUUGCGUAACUCGAUUCCAACGUCAUCAUCGAGCCGAGCAAAACCGAUUUGCUCGCUCGGUGGCGGCGAGGCGCCGAGGAGGCGGCGGCAACGUCGCGGCGGCGUUGCGCUAGCAUCGAGGCCGAGAGGACUCGACUUUUCCUUUCUUGCUACCUUUUUCAGGGCACAUUUCCUGAUAGAAGAAAUAACUCAAGGUGUCCAAGGGAGGCGUCCAUCAUCCACUCCGUUUCCUGUUUGAAAUUAUAGUCCAGUUGCUGGAGGAGGAAAAUCGAUUUACGAAUCGCAGUUUCCUGCCUGCGAACAUCGUUUCCUUCGAUUCCACGUGGGAACUGUUUAAACCGUGCCAAUAACCGAAUUAUAAACAAUUAUUUGUCAAUCGAUUUUGUUGAUUUCAUUUUGUUCAUCAAAGUUCGUCGAUAUUUAAAAAUUGUCCAAUCAAUUUUUUCUUAAUAAUGUUGUAUCCAUUUUGCAAUAAUAACUGAAAUAAUAAUUUGCAA
Long non-coding RNA from Megalopta genalis, 686 nucleotides. RefSeq lists it as uncharacterized. The record is from RefSeq and is a predicted model, not a curated record. NCBI's taxonomy places the organism in Eukaryota, Metazoa, Arthropoda, Insecta, Hymenoptera, Halictidae.